Molecule: ribosomal RNA, 484 nt
Filed under: uncultured bacterium
Lineage: Bacteria
Description: partial 16S ribosomal RNA
Rfam family: Bacterial small subunit ribosomal RNA
Source: RNAcentral
AUUGAACGCUGGCGGCAGGCCUAACACAUGCAAGUCGAGCGGAUGAAGGGAGCUUGCUCCUGGAUUCAGCGGCGGACGGGUGAGUAAUGCCUAGGAAUCUGCCUGGUAGUGGGGGAUAACGUCCGGAAACGGGCGCUAAUACCGCAUACGUCCUGAUGGAGCAAGUGGGGGAUCUUCGGACCUCUCGCUCUCAGAUGAGCCUAGGUCGGAUUAGCUAGUUGGUGGGGUAAAGGCCUACCAAGGCGACGAUCCGUAACUGGUCUGAGAGGAUGAUAAGUCACACUGGAACUGAGACACGGUCAAGACGACUAAGGGAGGCAGCAGUGGGGAAUAUUGGACAAUAGGCGAAAGCAUGAUACAGCCAUGCCGCGUGUGUGAAGAAGGUCUUCGGAUUGUAAAGCACUUUAAGUGGGGAGGAAGGGCAGUAAGUUAAUACCUUGCUGUAUUGACGUUACCAACAGAAUAAGCACCGGCUAACUUCGUG